GUAAAUUUGAGGGCGGAAAAAUUCACCAGUACGCGGUUUUCCUAGUUUUCUCAUUCCUUCGCGAACUCGCGCGGGUCGCGAGAUCCGUAAACCUUCCCAGCGUUCUUUGCAAGGACGGUUCCGUCAUAUUGUGAAAAAGCCGCCAAAGUAGAAGCUCCGGUCAAGUAUGUUGCUGAUUGUUUUAUAAAGAGCUGGGAAGAAGUCUGUAUUGGCGCGAAGUUCAACUCAGUUGGAGGGAGGUGGAGACACAUUAGGACAAGACAAGAACAGGAUUUACAUUAGUUAGCCUAUUCUAGAUUUAUGAUUUUAUUGCAAUCGAAGACCCAGGUAAACACUUGUGUUCUUGUGCAUUGAUCAAAUCCAAACUAAACCUGGCUGAUUCCCAUUCUGGACGUUGGACCACCCCUGGGAUUACUCCUGAUGGUUAACCUCCUCCUCCCCCUAGAUAUUGGGAUUAAAAUCACUAAAUUCUAGGACAAGAAAUAAUUAAAAUUGACCAUUAUUCAAGUUGAAUGGGAAAAGAAAAAUUGAAUGUGGAAAAGAUUCCCUUUCUUGACUGCGUAUUAAGCCUCAGGAGCAAUGUAUUGCAAUGACGGUUCAUAUAAGACCAAAUCAUAUGCUGACUGGCAAUAGGACUAACCACCCUACACCCAUGGCUUACAUUCAGAGGGGCUUAUUGUUAAAAGGUUUUAUUUUACCUAAAAAAGUUGAGAGGAUGGGCUUAUUAAUUUUUACAGUAACCUACAACAUGGGCUCUUUUAAGGCAUUUUUAUUGCACAAAUCUAGGUACAGCCCUACAAUUUAUUAUACAUACCCAACAAAUCUAUUACUGCAUUAUGACAUUGACUGACAAAUAGGACAGGGAUACAGAAAUGUAAGUCUUGCAUCAUACUGCACAAGAUCAUUACAAAUGUUUCAGCUGCUGGGCAAGAGAGACUGGCAGAAUUAUGAAGAUCACACUGCCAAAAUGCAAAUGAAUGUGAUGUUAACUAUGAUAUUACUGAACACCAUCAUGUACAUUCACAAAUUUGACUGGGUUAUAUUCACAAACUACUUUCAAUGACCGACUGUAGAAAGCUGGUACACUAACUUAGACCACAACUGACAAUAACUGAUCAAGAAUAUAGACUAUAUACAUGCAUGUCUUUGAAACAGCUAACAACAUCACAGUGUUACUGUAAACAUUUCAGUCAGCUACAACUUUCCUGUUCAGGACAACCCUUGAUCAGCAGAUCACACUGAUACUUCUACCAUUUACCUUAUGUUACAUGUUACAGUACAUCAGUUUCAAGUCUCAUGAAAAAUAUUUUCUAGUCAGUGUAAGGGAAAAGUCAGAGAGAUUAAUUUUCUCUAUGCCUAGCAUACUCUCAGAGUUUUCUUUCUGGCACCUCUUUGGACAACUUGCAACAGGACAGAGUUACGGGUUUAACUAACAGUGAAUUUUCUGGGUUUAGCCAGGUUAAGAAAGUUUUGAAUUGAUCUUUGUAUUGUAUAAUGUAAACCAAGUUCUGCUUUAGGUUUUGCAAGACCACAGACAUCCUUGCUUACAGUCACAAUAUAAUUGGUCCGUCAAGCAAAUUGCUUUUUAACACAUUUUGGCAGUGGAUAACUCCCUUAUUUUUGAUAGCAAUUUUGUUGCACUUGAUGUUAUUACUGUAUUUCUUCUGUUUAACCUUAAAAAGGGGAGCUUUUUAAAUGGAAGUCUAAUAAGAGGGGGUAAGGGGUCUUUAUAGGCCCCUGAUUGUUCUCAACUAUCAAAAAUAGGAACUUAUUUAGAUGAGAAAGAAAAGUUUUUUUAGGGGGAUGGGGUUGCUAAAACGAGAUUUCAUAUAAAUUUGGUUGUACCUAAAAGAAAGGGGUUCAAUUGAAGAUUUGACUGAUAUUCACUGUUAACACACAAGGGAAAUUAAGAAAAUUGGAUUUUUUAGGAUGGACCGGGCUCAUGCAAGUUUUAUUCGUGAACAGGGUUCAGAGUAACAAGGGCAAAUGAAUGGGUAGGGCAGUGGGGACUCAUAUCAAUAGAGGUCAAAUUGAGGAAAUACAGUAAUUCUGAAUUUUCAAAACACUUUUGAAAGAAAAUGAUAUAUCAUUUCUAAUCA
RNAcentral lists this long non-coding RNA (2099 nucleotides) under Orbicella faveolata. Its description in RNAcentral is "uncharacterized LOC110039995". Lineage: Eukaryota; Metazoa; Cnidaria; Anthozoa; Scleractinia; Merulinidae. The record is from RNAcentral.